RNAcentral lists this ribosomal RNA (119 nucleotides) under Pteropus alecto (black flying fox). Lineage: Eukaryota; Metazoa; Chordata; Mammalia; Chiroptera; Pteropodidae. The record is from RNAcentral.
GUCUACAGCCAUGCCACCCUGAAUGUGCCUGAUCUCAUCUGAUCUUGGAAGCUAACCAGGGUCCAGCCUGGUUAGCACUUGGAUGGGAGACCAUCUAGGAAUACCAGGUGCUGUAGGCG